This 2903-nucleotide ribosomal RNA is filed under the name Shigella dysenteriae 155-74. RNAcentral's name for it is "23S ribosomal RNA". Lineage: Bacteria; Pseudomonadati; Pseudomonadota; Gammaproteobacteria; Enterobacterales; Enterobacteriaceae. The record is from RNAcentral.
AAGGUUAAGCCUCACGGUUCAUUAGUACCGGUUAGCUCAACGCAUCGCUGCGCUUACACACCCGGCCUAUCAACGUCGUCGUCUUCAACGUUCCUUCAGGACUCUCAAGGAGUCAGGGAGAACUCAUCUCGGGGCAAGUUUCGUGCUUAGAUGCUUUCAGCACUUAUCUCUUCCGCAUUUAGCUACCGGGCAGUGCCAUUGGCAUGACAACCCGAACACCAGUGAUGCGUCCACUCCGGUCCUCUCGUACUAGGAGCAGCCCCCCUCAGUUCUCCAGCGCCCACGGCAGAUAGGGACCGAACUGUCUCACGACGUUCUAAACCCAGCUCGCGUACCACUUUAAAUGGCGAACAGCCAUACCCUUGGGACCUACUUCAGCCCCAGGAUGUGAUGAGCCGACAUCGAGGUGCCAAACACCGCCGUCGAUAUGAACUCUUGGGCGGUAUCAGCCUGUUAUCCCCGGAGUACCUUUUAUCCGUUGAGCGAUGGCCCUUCCAUUCAGAACCACCGGAUCACUAUGACCUGCUUUCGCACCUGCUCGCGCCGUCACGCUCGCAGUCAAGCUGGCUUAUGCCAUUGCACUAACCUCCUGAUGUCCGACCAGGAUUAGCCAACCUUCGUGCUCCUCCGUUACUCUUUAGGAGGAGACCGCCCCAGUCAAACUACCCACCAGACACUGUCCGCAACCCGGAUUACGGGUCCACGUUAGAACAUCAAACAUUAAAGGGUGGUAUUUCAAGGCCGGCUCCAUGCAGACUGGCGUCCACACUUCUAAGCCUCCCACCUAUCCUACACAUCAAGGCUCAAUGUUCAGUGUCAAGCUAUAGUAAAGGUUCACGGGGUCUUUCCGUCUUGCCGCGGGUACACUGCAUCUUCACAGCGAGUUCAAUUUCACUGAGUCUCGGGUGGAGACAGCCUGGCCAUCAUUACGCCAUUCGUGCAGGUCGGAACUUACCCGACAAGGAAUUUCGCUACCUUAGGACCGUUAUAGUUACGGCCGCCGUUUACCGGGGCUUCGAUCAAGAGCUUCGCUUGCGCUGACCCCAUCAAUUAACCUUCCGGCACCGGGCAGGCGUCACACCGUAUACGUCCACUUUCGUGUUUGCACAGUGCUGUGUUUUUAAUAAACAGUUGCAGCCAGCUGGUAUCUUCGACUGAUUUCAGCUCCAUCCGCGAGGGACUUCACCUACAUAUCAGCGUGCCUUCUCCCGAAGUUACGGCACCAUUUUGCCUAGUUCCUUCACCCGAGUUCUCUCAAGCGCCUUGGUAUUCUCUACCUGACCACCUGUGUCGGUUUGGGGUACGAUUUGAUGUUACCUGAUGCUUAGAGGCUUUUCCUGGAAGCAGGGCAUUUGUUGCUUCAGCACCGUAGUGCCUCGUCAUCACGCCUCAGCCUUGAUUUUCCGGAUUUGCCUGGAAAAUCAGCCUACACGCUUAAACCGGGACAACCGUCGCCCGGCCAACAUAGCCUUCUCCGUCCCCCCUUCGCAGUAACACCAAGUACAGGAAUAUUAACCUGUUUCCCAUCGACUACGCCUUUCGGCCUCGCCUUAGGGGUCGACUCACCCUGCCCCGAUUAACGUUGGACAGGAACCCUUGGUCUUCCGGCGAGCGGGCUUUUCACCCGCUUUAUCGUUACUUAUGUCAGCAUUCGCACUUCUGAUACCUCCAGCAUGCCUCACAGCACACCUUCACAGGCUUACAGAACGCUCCCCUACCCAACAACGCAUAAGCGUCGCUGCCGCAGCUUCGGUGCAUGGUUUAGCCCCGUUACAUCUUCCGCGCAGGCCGACUCGACCAGUGAGCUAUUACGCUUUCUUUAAAUGAUGGCUGCUUCUAAGCCAACAUCCUGGCUGUCUGGGCCUUCCCACAUCGUUUCCCACUUAACCAUGACUUUGGGACCUUAGCUGGCGGUCUGGGUUGUUUCCCUCUUCACGACGGACGUUAGCACCCGCCGUGUGUCUCCCGUGAUAACAUUCUCCGGUAUUCGCAGUUUGCAUCGGGUUGGUAAGUCGGGAUGACCCCCUUGCCGAAACAGUGCUCUACCCCCGGAGAUGAAUUCACGAGGCGCUACCUAAAUAGCUUUCGGGGAGAACCAGCUAUCUCCCGGUUUGAUUGGCCUUUCACCCCCAGCCACAAGUCAUCCGCUAAUUUUUCAACAUUAGUCGGUUCGGUCCUCCAGUUAGUGUUACCCAACCUUCAACCUGCCCAUGGCUAGAUCACCGGGUUUCGGGUCUAUACCCUGCAACUUAACGCCCAGUUAAGACUCGGUUUCCCUUCGGCUCCCCUAUUCGGUUAACCUUGCUACAGAAUAUAAGUCGCUGACCCAUUAUACAAAAGGUACGCAGUCACCCCAUAAAGAGGCUCCCACUGCUUGUACGUACACGGUUUCAGGUUCUUUUUCACUCCCCUCGCCGGGGUUCUUUUCGCCUUUCCCUCACGGUACUGGUUCACUAUCGGUCAGUCAGGAGUAUUUAGCCUUGGACGGAUGGUCCCCCCAUAUUCAGACAGGAUACCACGUUGUCCCGCCCUACUCAUCGAGCUCACAGCAUGUGCAUUUUUGUGUACGGGGCUGUCACCCUGUAUCGCGCGCCUUUCCAGACGCUUCCACUAACACACACACUGAUUCAGGCUCUGGGCUGCUCCCCGUUCGCUCGCCGCUACUGGGGGAAUCUCGGUUGAUUUCUUUUCCUCGGGGUACUUAGAUGUUUCAGUUCCCCCGGUUCGCCUCAUUAACCUAUGGAUUCAGUUAAUGAUAGUGUGUCGAAACACACUGGGUUUCCCCAUUCGGAAAUCGCCGGUUAUAACGGUUCAUAUCACCUUACCGACGCUUAUCGCAGAUUAGCACGUCCUUCAUCGCCUCUGACUGCCAGGGCAUCCACCGUGUACGCUUAGUCGCUUAA